This 1253-nucleotide long non-coding RNA is filed under the name Sus scrofa (pig). RNAcentral's name for it is "lncRNA (ENSSSCG00005015463.1)". The record is from RNAcentral. Lineage: Eukaryota; Metazoa; Chordata; Mammalia; Artiodactyla; Suidae.
AAUGCCCAAGUCCUUUACUUGCUGUUGGCCAGGCUUCACCAGGAAAUGACAACAGAGCAGUGUUCGAUCCUUCAGAGCCGGGAUAAAAGCACAGAGGACUGCAAUGCAGAGCACGAGGACCGGUGGGCCUCAGAAAGCCCCGCUGGGAUGCUUCCGAAAGGCCAACACUGGGCGGGGGGGGACACUUCAGGGAGCGGAGGGUCCCUUGGGUCCUUGUCCCACGCCCCGUACAAGGGAUCAGGCAAAACGGGCUGCUCUCAGAUCUACUCUGUAGGCUGUUCACGUGGCAAUAAAUUGCUGGGUUUCCUUUGUGUUUCUAAUGGGAAAGCAAACCGACCACAAAGUAUACCCUUCCUCACCAACCCCUGCCGGGGAUCGUAAAAAGACUCCAAGGACUUAAAAGGUCAUAGGAAACGCGUGGUUCUUCUUGGUGAUUUCUGAUUCCGUGAAGGCAGUCUUGCAAGUGGCAAGUUGGUGCCACGUUAAGUAGCCCAAACAGCCCGUGAAAGAUGUGAGGUGUCUCUGGGUCCCCUGCAAAGGGCAGGGUGGGGAAUGUAGGUGGCCUCUUCCGCCUGUCAUACCUCUGGCACCACUGACCCUCCCGGCAUGAGCUGCAGAAAUCUAACUCCCCGCCCCCCACCUCCUCCCAGGCACGGUGGCCUCAGAGCUACAGGAGUGACUGUUCCUUUCCUUGUUCCCCGAUGGCCUCCUCCUUGCAGUCCUUCUCACUGCCCUGGAUAGAGGUGGCUGGGUAGUUUUCUUCAUACUCAUUCUUAAGGCUAAGGUGGCAAGAUAAGGUGCUUGGUGGAGAGCCAAAUUCUCGAUUCCAGGGCCACUUCGGCACUCGCACAUAAAGCAAAUACGGAAGAAAUGGAGAGGGGGGCGGAGAGGCAAAAAAAAAAAAAACCCAAACCCAAACAAAAUGUAUCUGGGCUCAAUAGGAAGUUACGUACUGCAAGUUUAGAUUUCAAAUGUAGUCUCAACCCCUGAAAAUAGGGGGUGGGGGCGGGGAGUCAAAGCCACAAAUGAGCCUUCGGCCCUGGUCUGUGCUGUCCCCUCGGCCGGGGUAGCGCGUCGCCCCUAGCAGCUCUCGCCACGGGCCUCCCUCGCGGACGCCGGCUCGCAAGCGGCAGUUCCGUCCUCAUCCGAGACAAAGGACUCUGAACGCCGUCACCCCUUCCUCCCCGCAACCCCUCGGAACAAAAGCUAUACACACACACGAGUCAGAGAUCUCUACGCCAGUAGGAGAAACA